This 373-nucleotide RNase P RNA is filed under the name uncultured Oceanisphaera sp. Its description in RNAcentral is "Bacterial RNase P class A". It matches the Rfam family "Bacterial RNase P class A". From Rfam's summary of the family: Ribonuclease P (RNase P) is a ubiquitous endoribonuclease, found in archaea, bacteria and eukarya as well as chloroplasts and mitochondria. The record is from RNAcentral. Lineage: Bacteria; Pseudomonadati; Pseudomonadota; Gammaproteobacteria; Aeromonadales; Aeromonadaceae.
GAGUUGGCUGGGUAAUCGCUGCUUUGUCGUUGUGUCUUCGGGCAUACGGGCAAAGGGGAGGAAAGUCCGGGCUCCAUAGGGCAGGGUGCCAGGUAACGCCUGGGGAGCGCGAGCUCACGACCAGUGCAGCAGAGAGAAUACCGCCGAUGGCCUUAGGGCACAGGUAAGGGUGAAAGGGUGCGGUAAGAGCGCACCGCACCACUGGUAACAGUGUGUGGCAAGGUAAACUCCACCCGGAGCAAGACCAAAUAGGCCUCCAUUAGGUGCGGCCCGCGCUGGAGGCGGGUAGGUUGCUUGAGCCAGUGAGCGAUUGCUGGCCUAGAGGAAUGAUUACUAAUCGAGCGUGCUCGAUACAGAACCCGGCUUAUAAGGC